AUCAAUGUUUCCAUAUGGAGCUGUUAUUGUAGCAAAAGUAGGCCUAUUUGUACAUUUUCUGGAAGGAAGACCUCGAUGGAUCGUCCGCCGCCUGCUGGUUGCAGACAGAGGCCUCACCACCCCAACUCCCCCUCCCUUUCCUUACACCACUCAACCACCUUGUGAGGAGGAGACGCGAUGACCAUGAAAUCCUUAUCUCCCUCACUUCAGCACGGCAGAUAUUGCUUCACAGCGGCACAGCUUUGACAGCAAAGAACAUCAGAGCUGUCAAUCUUUAUCUGCAAUCCAAGCGACAACCUCCGUACCCAAAAUAUGGAGCCCAUGCAGAAGUGUUAUAAACUGCAGUUCAAUAAGCGUCC
Molecule: long non-coding RNA, 359 nt
Organism: Notolabrus celidotus (New Zealand spotty)
Lineage: Eukaryota; Metazoa; Chordata; Actinopteri; Labriformes; Labridae
Exons: 3
Source: RefSeq, a predicted model, not a curated record